AGUGGACGCUGGCGGUAGGCCUAACACAUGCAAGUCGAACGGCAGCACAGUAAGAGCUUGCUCUUACGGGUGGCGAGUGGCGGACGGGUGAGGAAUACAUCGGAAUCUACUUUUUCGUGGGGGAUAACGUAGGGAAACUUACGCUAAUACCGCAUACGACCUACGGGUGAAAGCAGGGGAUCUUCGGACCUUGCGCGAUUGAAUGAGCCGAUGUCGGAUUAGCUAGUUGGCGGGGUAAAGGCCCACCAAGGCGACGAUCCGUAGCUGGUCUGAGAGGAUGAUCAGCCACACUGGAACUGAGACACGGUCCAGACUCCUACGGGAGGCAGCAGUGGGGAAUAUUGGACAAUGGGCGCAAGCCUGAUCCAGCCACACCGCGUGGGUGAAGAAGGCCUUCGGGUUGUAAAGCCCUUUUGUUGGGAAAGAAAAGCAGCAGGUUAAUACCCCGCUGUUCUGACGGUACCCAAAGAAUAAGCACCGGCUAACUUCGUG
Molecule: ribosomal RNA, 492 nt
Filed under: uncultured bacterium
Lineage: Bacteria
Description: partial 16S ribosomal RNA
Rfam family: Bacterial small subunit ribosomal RNA
Source: RNAcentral